UACGGAGGGUGCGAGCGUUAAUCGGAAUUACUGGGCGUAAAGCGCGCGUAGGUGGUUUGAUAAGCGAGAUGUGAAAGCCCCGGGCUUAACCUGGGAACGGCAUUUCGAACUGUCAGGCUAGAGUAUGGUAGAGGAGUGUGGAAUUUCCUGUGUAGCGGUGAAAUGCGUAGAUAUAGGAAGGAACACCAGUGGCGAAGGCGGCACUCUGGACCAAUACUGACACUGAGGUGCGAAAGCGUGGGGAGCAAACAGG
RNAcentral lists this unclassified non-coding RNA (253 nucleotides) under uncultured Alteromonadales bacterium. RNAcentral's name for it is "contains 16S-23S intergenic spacer region". It matches the Rfam family "Bacterial small subunit ribosomal RNA", at positions 524 to 776 of the family's 1533-position model. Lineage: Bacteria; Pseudomonadati; Pseudomonadota; Gammaproteobacteria; Alteromonadales. The record is from RNAcentral.